This 79-nucleotide transfer RNA is filed under the name Sphaerodactylus townsendi. RNAcentral describes it as "tRNA-Thr". Lineage: Eukaryota; Metazoa; Chordata; Lepidosauria; Squamata; Sphaerodactylidae. The record is from RNAcentral.
CACUGGGCUGUGGCUCAGCAGAAGAGCCUGUGCCUCGUGUGCAGAAGGUCUGAGGUUCGAUCCCCCGCCUCUCUAGUGG